GGGGAUAUGGCGGAAUGGUAGACGCAGCGGACUCAAAAUCCGUUGGUUUCACAGAACCGUGAGGGUUCGACUCCCUCUAUCCCCA
RNAcentral lists this transfer RNA (85 nucleotides) under Bolbitis laxireticulata. Its description in RNAcentral is "tRNA-Leu". It matches the Rfam family "tRNA". Rfam says of the family: Transfer RNA (tRNA) molecules are approximately 80 nucleotides in length. Their secondary structure includes four short double-helical elements and three loops (D, anti-codon, and T loops). Lineage: Eukaryota; Viridiplantae; Streptophyta; Polypodiopsida; Polypodiales; Dryopteridaceae. The record is from RNAcentral.